GAUGAACGCUGGCGGCGUGCCUAAUACAUGCAAGUCGAGCGAACGGACGAGAAGCUUGCUUCUCUGAUGUUAGCGGCGGACGGGUGAGUAACACGUGGAUAACCUACCUAUAAGACUGGGAUAACUUCGGGAAACCGGAGCUAAUACCGGAUAAUAUUUUGAACCGCAUGGUUCAAAAGUGAAAGACGGUCUUGCUGUCACUUAUAGAUGGAUCCGCGCUGCAUUAGCUAGUUGGUAAGGUAACGGCUUACCAAGGCAACGAUGCAUAGCCGACCUGAGAGGGUGAUAGGCCACACUGGAACUGAGACACGGUCCAGACGCCUACGGGAGGCAGCAGUAGGGAAUCUUCCGCAAUGGGCGAGAGCCUGACGGAGCAACGCCGCGUGAGUGAUGAAGGUCUUCGGAGCGUAAAACUCUGUUAUUAGGGAAGAACAUAUGUGUAAGUAACUGUGCACAUCUUGACGGUACCUAAUCAGAAAGCCACGGCUAACUACGUG
This 497-nucleotide ribosomal RNA is filed under the name uncultured bacterium. RNAcentral's name for it is "partial 16S ribosomal RNA". It matches the Rfam family "Bacterial small subunit ribosomal RNA", at positions 28 to 507 of the family's 1533-position model. The record is from RNAcentral.